This 825-nucleotide long non-coding RNA is filed under the name Homo sapiens (human). Its description in RNAcentral is "HSALNT0341059". Lineage: Eukaryota; Metazoa; Chordata; Mammalia; Primates; Hominidae. The record is from RNAcentral.
AAAAAAGUUCCUGAGAACUCUUCUUAGUCUAGCAUGAAAGGAAGAAACCCCGUUUGCAACGAAGCCCUCAAAGAGGUCCAAAUAUCCACUUGCAGACAUAACAAGCAGAGUGUUUCUAAACUGCUCUAAGAAAAGAAAGGUUAAACUCUGUGAGUUGAAGGCACACAUCACAAAGUAGUUUCUGAGAAUGAUUCUGUCUAGUUUUUAUUUGAAGAUAUUUCCUUUUCUACUGUUGGCAUCAAAUCGCUUGAAAUCUCCACUUGCAAAUUCCACAAAAAGAGUGUUUCAAAUCUGCUCUGUGUAAAGGGACGUUCCACUCUGUGAGUUGAAUACACACAGCACAAAGAAGUUACUGAGAAUUCUUCUGUCUAGCAUGAAAUGAAGAAAUCCCGUUUCCAACGAAGGCCUCAAUGCGGUCCAUAUAUCCACUUGCAGACUUUACAAACAGAGUGUUUCCAAACUGCUCUAUGAAAAGAAAGGUUAAACUAUGUGAGUUGAACGCACACAUCACAAAGAAUUUUCUGAGAAUGAUUCUGUCUGGUUUUUAUUUGAAGAUAUUUCCCUUUCUACUGUUGGCAUCAAAUGGCUAGAAAUCUCCACUUGCAAAUUCCGCAAAAACAGUGUUUCAAAUCUGCUCUGUCUAAAGGGACGUUCCACUCUGUGAGUUGAAUGCACACAACACAAAGAAUUUACUGAGAAUUCUUCCGUCUAGCAUUAUAUGAUAAAAUCCCGUUUCCAACGAAGGCCUCAAACAGGUCCAUAUAUCCACUUGCAGACUUUACAAACAGUGUGUUUCCAAACUCCUCUAUGAAAAGAAAGGUUAAA